This 485-nucleotide ribosomal RNA is filed under the name uncultured bacterium. RNAcentral describes it as "partial 16S ribosomal RNA". It matches the Rfam family "Bacterial small subunit ribosomal RNA", at positions 28 to 523 of the family's 1533-position model. The record is from RNAcentral.
GACGAACGCUGGCUGCGUGCUUAACACAUGCAAGUCGAACGCUGAAGCCCGAAGCUUGCUUCGGGUGGAUGAGUGGCGAACGGGUGAGUAACACGUGAGUAACCUGCCCCUGAUUUCGGGAUAAGCCUGGGAAACUGGGUCUAAUACCGGAUAUGACAACCUGACGCAUGUCGGGUGGUGGAAAGUUUGUCGAUCGGGAAGGGGCUCGCGGCCUAUCAGCUUGUUGGUGGGUUAAUGGCCUACCAAGGCGACGACGGGUAGCCGGCCUGAGAGGGCGACGGGCCACACUGGGACUGAGACACGGCCCAGACUCCUACGGGAGGCAGCAGUGGGGAAUAUUGCACAAUGGGGGAAACCCUGAUGCAGCGACGCAGCGUGCGGGAUGACGGCCUUCGGGUUGUAAACCGCUUUCAGCAGGGAAGAAGCGAAAGUGACGGUACCUGCAGAAGAAGUACCGGCUAACUACGUGCCAGCCGCCGCAGUAA